RNAcentral lists this ribosomal RNA (1486 nucleotides) under uncultured prokaryote. Its description in RNAcentral is "partial 16S ribosomal RNA". It matches the Rfam family "Bacterial small subunit ribosomal RNA". The record is from RNAcentral.
UUGAUCCUGGCUCAGGAUGAACGCUAGCGGUGUGCCUAAUGCAUGCAAGUCGAACGGUAGGGACCGUUUUCGGAUGGUUCUGAGAGUGGCGAACGGGUGAGUAACACGUUGGUGACCUGCCCCAGAGAGGGGGAUAACUAUUGGAAACGAUAGCUAAUACCCCAGAUGUCAAAGUGUUUAGAAAUCUUUGACUAAAGCAAUGUGCUCUAGGAGGGACCUGCGGCCCAUCAGCUAGUUGGUGAGGUAACGGCUUACCAAGGCAAAGACGGGUAGGGGGCGUGAGAGCGUGACCCCCCACACUGGUACUGAGACACGGACCAGAUACCUACGGGUAGCAGCAGCAAGGAAUAUUGCCCAAUGGACGGAAGUCUGAGGCAGCAACACCGCGUGGAGGACGAAGGCUUUCGGGUCGUAAACUCCUUUUCUGGGGGAAGAGAAAGGACGGUACCCCAGGAAUAAGUCUCGGCUAACUACGUGCCAGCAGCCGCGGUAAAACGUAGGAGGCGAGCGUUAUCCGGAUUUACUGGGCGUAAAGCGCAUGCAGGCGGACGCUUAAGUCGGACGUGAAAGCUCCUGGCUCAACUAGGAGAUGCCGUUCGAAACUAGGUGUCUUGAGGGUGGUAGAGGAGAGUGGAAUUCCCGGUGUAGUGGUGAAAUGCGUAAUUCGGGAGGAAACACCAGUGGCGAAAGCGGCUCUCUGGGCCAUCCUGACGCUCAGAUGCAAAGCUAGGGGAGAGAACGGGAUUAAAAACCCCGGUAUUCCUUACCGUAAACGAUUUCAACUAGGCUAGGUUGUGAUUGACCCCAUCUGUGCUGCAGCCAACGCGAUAAGUGACCGCCUGGGGAGUACGGCCGCAAGGCUAAACUCAAAGGAAUUGACGGGGACCCGCACAAGCAGCGGAGCGUGUGGUUUAAUUCGAAGAUACGCGAAGAACCUUACCAGGGUUUGACAUGGCGGGGGUAGGGGCUGGAAACAGUACCGACCCUUCGGGGAGCCGACACAGGUGCUGCAUGGCUGUCGUCAGCUCGUGCCGUGAGGUGUUAGGUUAAGUCCUGUAACGAGCGCAACCCACAUCGAUAGUUACAAGUGUCUACCGAGACUGCCGGUGAUAAGCCGGAGGAAGGUGAGGAUGACGUCAAGUCAGCAUGGCCUUUAUAUCCUGGGCUACACACACGCUACAAUGGGCGGUACAAUGGGUAGCCAAGCCGCGAGGUGGAGCCAAUCCUAAAAAGCCGUUCUAAGUUCGGAUUGCAGGCUGCAACUCGCCUGCAUGAAGUCGGAGUUGCUAGUAACCGCGCGUCAGCAACAGUGCGGUGAAUACGUUCCCGGGGAUUGUACACACCGCCCGUCACGUCAUGGAAGCUGGCAACGCCUGAAGUCAGUGAGCUAACCCGAAAGGGAGGCAACUGCCCAAGGCGGGGUCGGUAACUGGGACGAAGUCGUAACAAGGUAGCUGUAGCGGAAGCUGCGGCUGGAUCACCUCCU